RNAcentral lists this ribosomal RNA (393 nucleotides) under uncultured bacterium. RNAcentral describes it as "bacterial SSU rRNA". It matches the Rfam family "Bacterial small subunit ribosomal RNA", at positions 28 to 422 of the family's 1533-position model. The record is from RNAcentral.
GACGAACGCUGGCGGCGUGCUUAACACAUGCAAGUCGAGCGGUAAGGCCCUUUCGGGGGUACACGAGCGGCGAACGGGUGAGUAACACGUGGGUGACCUGCCUUUAGCUCUGGGAUAAGCCUGGGAAACUGGGUCUAAUACCGGAUAUGACCCUAUGGCGCAUGUUGUGGGGUGGAAAGCCUUGUGCGGCUAGGGAUGGGCCCGCGGCCUAUCAGCUUGUUGGUGGGGUGAUGGCCUACCAAGGCGACGACGGGUAGCCGGCCUGAGAGGGCGACCGGCCACACUGGGACUGAGACACGGCCCAGACUCCUACGGGAGGCAGCAGUGGGGAAUCUUGCGCAAUGGGCGAAAGCCUGACGCAGCGACGCCGCGUGAGGGAUGACGGCCUUCGGU